Molecule: ribosomal RNA, 1218 nt
Filed under: metagenome
Description: SSU rRNA
Rfam family: Eukaryotic small subunit ribosomal RNA
Source: RNAcentral
AGUCUGGUGCCAGCAGCCGCGGUAAUUCCAGCUCCAAUAGUGUAUAUUAAAGUUGCUGCAGUUAAAAAGCUCGUAGUUGGAUUUCGGAUAAUAAAAAUUUAAUAUCCAUCCUUAAAAUGUGAUUUAAUUUUUAUUUCCUUCCUUUUGAAUACACUCCCUAAACUCUUUUAGGGAAUUAAGUGUUUCAAAUCGUUUACUGUGAAGAAAUUAGAGUGUUCAAAGCAGGCGUAACCUAGCCUUUGAAUAUAUUAGCAUGGGAUAAUGAAAUAGGACUUUAGUCCUACUUUCGUUGGUUUCUAGGGCUGAAGUAAUGAUUAAUAGGGAUAGUUGGGGUCACUAGUAUUUAAUUGUCAGAGGUGAAAUUCUAAGAUUUAUUAAAGACUAACUACUGCGAAAGCAUUUGACAAGGAUGUUUUCAUUAAUCAAGAACGAAAGUUGGGGGAUCGAAGAUGAUCAGAUACCGUCGUAGUCUCAACCACAAACUAUGCCGACCAAGGAUCCGGGGUUGUUAAUAUGGAUGACUCUCCGGGCACUUAUAGAGAAAUCAUAAGUAUUUGGGCUCCGGGGGGAGUAUGGUCGCAAGGCUGAAACUUAAAGGAAUUGACGGAAGGGCACCACAAGGAGUGGAACCUGCGGUUUAAUUUGACCCAACGCGGGGAAACUUACCAGGUCCAGACACAGUGAGGAUUGACAGAUUGAGAGUUCUUUCUUGAUUCUGUGAGUGGUGGUGCAUGGCCGUUUCUAGUUGGUGGAGUGAUUUGUCUGGUUAAUUCCGUUAACGAACGAGACCUUAACCUAUUAAAUAGUUGUUUGAACUUGAUUUUUUAAAUCAAAUGUUCAUUUAACUUCUUAGAGGGACUCUUCACUGAGAGAGUGAAUGGAAGUUUGAGGCAAAAACAGGUCUGUGAUGCCCUUAGAUGUUCUGGGCCACACGCGCGUUACACUGACAUACUCAACGAGCAUUAUCCUUGCCCGUCGGGGUUGGGUAAUCUUUUAAAUGUAUGUCGUGCUGGGGAUAGAUCAUUGUAAUUAUUGGUCUUGAACGAGGAAUUCCUAGUAAGUGCGAGUCAUCAACUCGCGCUGAUUACGUCCCUGCCCUUUGUACACACCGCCCGUCGCUCCUACCGAUUGAAUGGUCCGGCGAGAACUCAGGAUGGAUAUGGAUUUUGGACCCGUUAGGUGUUCCAACCAUAUCCAGAAUUUGUUCAAACCUUACCA